RNAcentral lists this microRNA precursor (62 nucleotides) under Pristionchus pacificus. Its description in RNAcentral is "mir-8364 microRNA precursor family". It matches the Rfam family "mir-8364 microRNA precursor family". Lineage: Eukaryota; Metazoa; Nematoda; Chromadorea; Rhabditida; Neodiplogasteridae. The record is from Rfam by way of RNAcentral.
UCUUCAUUUCUCGUACUCUCUCACCGGUCAGAGAGUCUGAGAUAGUGUGUGAAAUGAAGAGA